This 1292-nucleotide long non-coding RNA is filed under the name Gallus gallus (chicken). Lineage: Eukaryota; Metazoa; Chordata; Aves; Galliformes; Phasianidae. The record is from RNAcentral.
GAAACGCACAGGAAGUUGAGAAGCACGUCAUGAAGUUUGCCCCGAAUGGAGAUUUGGGACCAAGAGGAAUAGUCCUAUCAGUGGAAAAGGCGAAAAGCUGUUGGCAAAAAGGGAAAUCUCUGUGCCUUCAUAGAGAGAUACACCAGUGCCAGAGGACAAGCCCAGCUUCCCAGCACACCCCAAAAGGCUGCGUGGUUGCCCACCAGAACAUAAGCUCCAGCAACAGUAAAGGAGGAUUUCCAGGAGCUGAAGGUGAACUGGUGGUGGGAGGUUUCCUUUCCCGUCUCAGAACCUGAGUGCCUGCCUUGCAUUUUCUGGGGUCACCAGUUUCACAGGCACCUUUGACACAGCCCCUUUUACAAACGGCCUUCACAAAAUGUUUUACAGCACCUUAGAAAAUCCAUCAGCCAGCUGUAAUGGGGCUGCUUUUCAGAAAUGCUGAAUAUUGCAAAAGCUCAAUGAAACUCAGCGGACCCGAAGACGCUUCACACCUCUGGAAAUAUCAGAUCUAUUGUGUCUGAUUAAGAAAUGACCUGACCCAAAAGCAUAUUGCCCGUAGCUGACUUAAACAUUACAGAGUUUUUGCAGAAGCCUAGUUAAGAUCCAUGGAAAUGCAGAGUUUGCUCUCCAGGUCCUGGGUACCUGCAGCAUCCUGGAUAGCUGGAUGGGUAACUGGAUGGACAUCUGAGAAACCAAAACAUUUUGGUUUUUUUAUGCUAACUGAAAAGAAAGAAAACCUUCGUUUUAGAGGGCCUGGGGGACUCCAUAGGUAUAACCCUCAUUUCCUAUGUCACAAAAGGGGCUACUGGAGUUAUUUAGCUCCUCUUUAGAAGUUACCACACCCCAAGUGUUGGAAAUACAGAUGCAACAGGCAGAGCUGAAGUGAAAUGGUUUGGAUCCUAAUUCCAAGUCUGUAUAAUUCCACUGGAAUUACUCCUAAUUUAAUAACAGUGUAAAAAUGCCACAGUGAAGUCAGAGCUUCCCAGGCACAAGAUAAUUUUCUUCUAUGAAUUAUGUGAGUGCCCUGCAGGGUUCAAUGUCAGGUAUGUUUAAUUAGGGAUUUUUCUGAUCACAUAGGAAGUGUGUUGAGAUUUGCUUAAUGGACAAGUAGAAAUAGAUAGGAAUGACUCCAUUUUUUCCUUCUCACUAAGUUAAACGUUACAUACAACUGUUGGUCUGUGUGUUUGCAUGCACAUACACCCAGGCAAUUUUCCUAUGACCUCACCAUUCUGUAGGUGAUUUGCUCCAGAUGAACUGUGGAAUAUGUAGUAGUGAAAUCAGAUGCUCUUCCC